CAGCAGCCGCGGUAAUACAGAGGGUGCAAGCGUUAAUCGGAAUUACUGGGCGUAAAGCGCGCGUAGGUGGUUUGUUAAGUUGGAUGUGAAAUCCCCGGGCUCAACCUGGGAACUGCAUCCAAAACUGGCAGGCUAGAGUAGGGCAGAGGGUGGUGGAAUUUCCUGUGUAGCGGUGAAAUGCGUAGAUAUAGGAAGGAUCACCAGUGGCGAAGGCGACCACCUGGGCUCAUACUGACACUGAGGUGCGAAAGCGUGGGGAGCAAACAGGAUUAGAUACCCCCGUAGUCCCUGUCUCUUAUAC
RNAcentral lists this ribosomal RNA (301 nucleotides) under uncultured bacterium. Its description in RNAcentral is "partial 16S ribosomal RNA". It matches the Rfam family "Bacterial small subunit ribosomal RNA", at positions 509 to 807 of the family's 1533-position model. The record is from RNAcentral.